CCAUUGCCCUGAGGAUGCUUGGCCUGGAAGGCCGGUGCCUCACCCUAGAUUUGCACUUAGAGAGAGGUCCUCUGGACACAUCAUCCAGCUCCAGCCCACGCUUACAUCCUAAUGCCUGCUCUGCUUCUGGGCUUAGCUGCACCUGUUCAGUGCCUUGUGGUUCCACAGAAGCCCAAUAAACCGUAACCUCCCCACCAGGUGCGUUUCUACGUGGACUGACUCAAGACUCUACUCCUGCAGAACAGACCUGUGUCGCCCUGGACUUCCUUGGAUUUCCCAAGCUACCCAUGUGACCACUAAGCCAGACGCUAGGGGCUGGGGGAAGGGGAGAAAACUCAAGGCUGGCACUCUGCCAGGGAGACAGUACUACCAUAUGUGAAAUAGGUGGGGCACAGUUUAAGAAAAACCAAGGCCUUAGUGUAUGCUCACAAGAGGGCUGAUGGAAUGGGGAGAUGUUUCAUGGAAAAAGGUAAAACCUCUACGGAGUUAGUGACAAUAAUAACUGCCAUUAACCGAAGAUGUUCUCUGCCUUCUCGCAUGCAUUCCCCUCAGUAAUCUUGAGGAAUACGUGCCAUAAUUUCAUUUUACAAAUAAUCAAACAGAAGCUAAAAGAGGUAAAAUAAAUUGCCUAAAGUCACAAAGCUAAGCCCCCUUCCAGAUGCUUCCUAACUCUGUAGGUAGGUUUUAUUUGUUUGAUAGGAGUGAAGGGGCCAGUUACUGGUUAAUGUUUUACAAAUCACUGAUAAAAUGGAGGAGAAUAAAAUGCUCAAAAUAAAUAUAACAAAUCCAUGGGCUCAGUACUUUAAACUCUGUUUUUAAUGUGUAAACUGGAAUACUUUUCUUAUGUUGGAUAAAAAGGUAUGAUGAUAGCAAUUACAAAUUUUGUUUAGAUGAAAAAUCCAUAAAUUCAAAAUGAGUAAACUAUAGCAAUGUGAAAAUAACACAAUUAGAACUUUAAUAACAUUGCUUCUAUAUUUUUAGAUAUGGGAC
RNAcentral lists this long non-coding RNA (990 nucleotides) under Marmota monax (woodchuck). Lineage: Eukaryota; Metazoa; Chordata; Mammalia; Rodentia; Sciuridae. The record is from RNAcentral.